GCUUACGGCCACACCGCCUGGUUCACGCCCGAUCUCGUUUGAUCUCGGAAGCUAAGAUAGGUUGGGCCUGGUUAGUACUUGGAUGGGAGACCGCCUGGGAAUACCAGGUGCUGUGAGGC
RNAcentral lists this ribosomal RNA (119 nucleotides) under Scophthalmus maximus (turbot). The record is from RNAcentral. Lineage: Eukaryota; Metazoa; Chordata; Actinopteri; Pleuronectiformes; Scophthalmidae.